AUUGAACGCUGGCGGUAGGCCUAACACAUGCAAGUCGAACGGCAGCACAGUAAGAGCUUGCUCUUACGGGUGGCGAGUGGCGGACGGGUGAGGAAUACAUCGGAAUCUACUUUUUCGUGGGGGAUAACGUGGGGAAACUUACGCUAAUACCGCAUACGACCUACGGGUGAAAGCAGGGGAUCUUCGGACCUUGCGCGAUUGAAUGAGCCGAUGUCGGAUUAGCUAGUUGGCGGGGUAAAGGCCCACCAAGGCGACGAUCCGUAGCUGGUCUGAGAGGAUGAUCAGCCACACUGGAACUGAGACACGGUCCAGACUCCUACGGGAGGGAGCAGUGGGGAAUAUGGGACAAUGGGGGGAAGCAUGAUCCAGCCAUACCGAGUGGGUGAAGAAGGCCUUCGGGUCGUAAAGACCUUUUGUUGGGAAAGAAAAGCAGCAGGUUAAUACCACGCUGUUCUGACGGUACCCAAAGAAUAAGCACCGGCUAACUUCGUG
RNAcentral lists this ribosomal RNA (492 nucleotides) under uncultured bacterium. RNAcentral's name for it is "partial 16S ribosomal RNA". It matches the Rfam family "Bacterial small subunit ribosomal RNA", at positions 30 to 507 of the family's 1533-position model. The record is from RNAcentral.